Molecule: ribosomal RNA, 491 nt
Filed under: uncultured bacterium
Lineage: Bacteria
Description: partial 16S ribosomal RNA
Rfam family: Bacterial small subunit ribosomal RNA
Source: RNAcentral
GUGAACGCUGGCGGUAGGCCUAACACAUGCAAGUCGAACGGCAGCACAGUAAGAGCUUGCUCUUACGGGUGGCGAGUGGCGGACGGGUGAGGAAUACAUCGGAAUCUACUUUUUCGUGGGGGAUAACGUAGGGAAACUUACGCUAAUACCGCAUACGACCUACGGGUGAAAGCAGGGGAUCUUCGGACCUUGCGCGAUUGAAUGAGCCGAUGUCGGACUAGCUAGUUGGCGGGGUAAAGGCCCACCAAGGCGACGAUCCGUAGCUGGUCUGAGAGGAUGAUCAGCCACACUGGAACUGAGACACGGUCCAGACUCCUACGGGAGGCAGCAGUGGGGAAUAUUGGACAAUGGGCGCAAGCCUGAUCCAGCCAUACCGCGUGGGUGAAGAAGGCCUUCGGGUUGUAAAGCCCUUUUGUUGGGAAAGAAAAGCAGCAGGUUAAUACCCCGCUGUUCUGACGGUACCCAAAGAAUAAGCACCGGCUAACUUCGUG